GAGGGUAUGGCUCAGUGGCAGAGUGCAUGCUUAGCAUGCAUGAGGUCCUGGUUCUAUCUCUAGUACCUCCA
This 71-nucleotide transfer RNA is filed under the name Camelus bactrianus (Bactrian camel). It matches the Rfam family "tRNA". Rfam says of the family: Transfer RNA (tRNA) molecules are approximately 80 nucleotides in length. Their secondary structure includes four short double-helical elements and three loops (D, anti-codon, and T loops). The record is from Rfam by way of RNAcentral. Lineage: Eukaryota; Metazoa; Chordata; Mammalia; Artiodactyla; Camelidae. RNAcentral also lists the same sequence under 1 other name.